GUGCCAGCCGCCGCGGUAAUACAGAGGUCCCAAGCGUUGUUCGGAUUCACUGGGCGUAAAGGGUGCGUAGGCGGUCGGGUAAGUCUGAUGUGAAAUCUCGAAGCCUAACUUCGAAACUGCAUUGGAUACUAUUCGGCUAGAGGAAUGGAGGGGAGACUGGAAUGCUCGGUGUAGCAGUGAAAUGCGUAGAUAUCGAGCGGAACACCAGUGGCGAAGGCGAGUCUCUGGACAUUUCCUGACGCUGAGGCACGAAAGCCAGGGGAGCAAACGGGAUUAGAAACCCCAGUAGUCC
This 292-nucleotide ribosomal RNA is filed under the name uncultured bacterium. Its description in RNAcentral is "partial 16S ribosomal RNA". It matches the Rfam family "Bacterial small subunit ribosomal RNA", at positions 505 to 796 of the family's 1533-position model. The record is from RNAcentral.